UCGAUCUGCUGCGGGCAGAUGAAAUGGAUGUGCGAAUCUAUGCCGCCGGCGGUCACGAUCAUGCCUUCGCCGGCGAUGAUCUCGGUGGCCGCGCCGAUCGCCAUCGUCACGUUCGGCUGGAUGUCCGGGUUGCCGGCCUUGCCGAUGGCGGCAAUGCGUCCGCCCUUCACGCCGAUGUCAGCCUUGACGAUGCCCCAGUGAUCGAGGAUCAGCGCAUUGGUGAUGACGGUAUCCAUCACAUCCGCAUGGACGCGCUGCGACUGCCCCAUGCCGUCGCG
Molecule: small RNA, 278 nt
Filed under: Noviherbaspirillum massiliense
Lineage: Bacteria; Pseudomonadati; Pseudomonadota; Betaproteobacteria; Burkholderiales; Oxalobacteraceae
Description: 5' ureB small RNA
Rfam family: 5' ureB small RNA
Source: RNAcentral